This 524-nucleotide ribosomal RNA is filed under the name uncultured bacterium. RNAcentral's name for it is "partial 16S ribosomal RNA". It matches the Rfam family "Bacterial small subunit ribosomal RNA", at positions 355 to 893 of the family's 1533-position model. The record is from RNAcentral.
UGGGGAAUAUUGCACAAUGGGCGAAAGCCUGAUGCAGCAACGCCGCGUGAGGGACGACGGCCUUCGGGUUGUAAACCUCUUUAGCAAGGAAGAAGCGAAAGUGACGGUACUUGCAGAAAAAGCGCCGGCUAACUACGUGCCAGCAGCCGCGGUAAUACGUAGGGCGCAAGCGUUAUCCGGAAUUAUUGGGCGUAAAGAGCUCGUAGGCGGUUUGUCGCGUCUGCUGUGAAAACCCGAGGCUCAACCUCGGGCCUGCAGUGGGUACGGGCAGACUAGAGUGCGGUAGGGGAGAUUGGAACUCCUGGUGUAGCGGUGGAAUGCGCAGAUAUCAGGAAGAACACCGAUGGCGAAGGCAGAUCUCUGGGCCGUAACUGACGCUGAGGAGCGAAAGGGUGGGGAGCAAACAGGCUUAGAUACCCUGGUAGUCCACCCGUAACGUUGGGAACUAGUUGUGGGUCCAUUCCACGGAUUCCGUGACGCAGCUAACGCAUUAAGUUCCCCGCCUGGGGAGUACGGCCGCAAGG